Molecule: long non-coding RNA, 17684 nt
Filed under: Sorghum bicolor (sorghum)
Lineage: Eukaryota; Viridiplantae; Streptophyta; Magnoliopsida; Poales; Poaceae
Description: long non-coding RNA (SBIC_LNC009723)
Rfam family: MIR5387 microRNA precursor family (bases 15628-15721)
Source: RNAcentral
AAGCUCGAGAGAAGCAAAACUCGACUUGUCGCAUGCAUGCAUGCAAUCAGAAGCCCCUACCCAGGAAUGCCGCCUCUGGCGCUGGCGCCGGCGCCGGCGUGCAGCGCUGCUCGCAGAAGUUUGUGAGAACAUCAUCGCAGCGGUAGGUGACGACGGGGCCAGAGCCGACCAUGACGCAGUUCUUGCACUCCGGGUGGCACCCGUCCACCGAGACGUCAUCGCACUGGCAGUCCGGCGGCAGCUGCCUGUCACAAAAACCGCAGUUGUCGCAGCACGGCCACGACGAGCCUGGUUUCCACCCGGUGUGGCCGUACAUGUUUAGUAAAAAAUGUCAAGUGUGCAUGCAUACAUCCUUUAACAAGUGAUAUAUAUAUAUAAAAGAAACUAAACGGUGCAUGAAAGGAUUCUGGGUACCUUUGCCGAGCGGCAGAGCAGCGAGGACGCCGAGAAGAGCCAGAGUGACGACGAGUAUCAGCUGAGGCCUCAUCUUUGUUACUGUGUCCCGGCAAGAACAGGCCUGAAUUUAUGCCAAGUUUUUUGCUUGGAUUUCUUUGCUACGUGUAUGUAUAUUCUCGCGGCUAUAUGAUGUGUAUGGUCGAGGCUGGAGGUCUUGUUAUAUAUAGCAUAGCAGGGGAUGGAGGUCCAGCGUGCCUAGAGAUGUCAAUCCCCACACGAUCGAAUAUAUAAAAUUCCACUACUAGCUAGGCGGCGGCAAGUGCCACAACUUUGCACUCCCAUGCGAUGCGACACGGUCUGGAUGAGUUUCCAAGCGCGCGCACGUUCCAUUCGUAUUUUUCUCAUUCCAUCAUGCAAUGCACAUGCCACCUGCGAGGGCGAUGGACGCCACCCGUCGACCUUUCCAAAAUAUUUUGUAAAAUUUUUCAAAUUUCUUGUCACAUCGAAUCUUACGACACAUGUACAAAGCAUUAAAUAUAGAUAAAAUAAUAACUAAUUACAUAGUUUGUCUGUAAUUUGCGAGACGACGAAUCUUUUGAGCCUAGUGAGUCAAUAAUUAGAUAAUAUUUAUUAAAUAUAAACGAAAAUGCUACAAUAACAAUUUUGGCAAAAAUUUUGAGAGUUAACAAGGCCCUGCUUGGUUGACCGAGUGCAGGGAUGACGCAGUGUACAUGUGUCUGGGAUCCUUUCAUAUACAUAUAUAGAGCAUUAAUUAUAGAUAAAAAAUAACUAAAUAUAUAUUUUGUUUAUAAUUUAGGAGACGAAUCUUUUGAGUCUAGGUAGUCAAUGAUUAGAUAAGUGUUUAUUUUGUUAAAAAAUUUGGAAUUAAACAAGGCGCUGGUUGGUUGAUCGAGUGCAUCAGUGCACAUGUGUCUGGAGAUACUUCCUGGAUGUCCUCUCUAUUUGCCUAUUUGCCUAGUCAUUUCAGGUGGGAACGGGAGCCCAGCACGGUCAGCAUGCAUGUGCUCAGUCCUCGCCUUGCCACCUGGAACGAAGGCCUUGUUUAGUUUUCUCCAAAACUCAAAAACUUUUCAAGUUUUCGUGUUAUAUUGAAUUUUACGGCUGCAUUAAAUAUUAACGAAAACAAAAACUAGUUAUACAAUUUAUCUAUAAAUUACGAAACGAAUCUUUUAAGCCUAUUUAGUCUAUGAUUAGACAAUAAUUACCAAAUACAAACAAAAAUGUUACAAUAUUUUAAAUUUUUCCCCCACUCAACUGAACAAGGCCGAGCUGAUUGUUGACCGUGGAGCCAUGGAGCUGGCGUCUCAACAGUACUGUACGAAAUUAGCAGCUAUAUUUUUUUAAGAUAAAGGAUAGAAACUAUCCGGCUUCAUCUACCCAUAGGUAGAAUCAGGCCAAAUUAAUACAACGGGAGAAAAAAAGAAGAUAAAUAACGGAAAAAUUACAUCCCCAACAAGGGCUCAAGUAGUCCUAGGCAACAAACCGUCUUGAUCCAAGAUGUCAACUCCUAUGGAAUACGAUCGCCAGCGUCAAGACAAAGUCGUCGAAACACGUUUGUCACACCUUAAAAAAGAUAGUGAAAACGUUGGACACCGACCACCAUUGACGAUUGGAUGCUUCUUCCAAGGCAACAGCGCAAAGAACUUGGAACAGAGACGGACCUGCCAUCCAAACUCCAAGCAGUUAUACCAAUGAACACCUCCUCCGACAAGAACAGCACGACGGAGAGACGUGGUUCCCGGCCAUGACGAACAACCACUUCGACGACGAGCCAACACGUCGCCGCCGGCCUGGAGAAACCAGGCUAGGUUUUCACCAAGUUGUUGGACGACCACAACCGCUACAGCUCCAGCGACACCUUCAACAAGGUGAGUAGCACCGUCAGUACCACCGUCGCCGGCCCGGCGUAAUGCCAGGUAGGGUUUUCACCCAAACUGCAGCCAGACGAAGAUCGCUGCGUGCCUGGGACUGGCACCCGCCGGAUCUGGGACGCCCAUCGGAUCCCAGUGGACUCAGGGCCCCGAAUCUAGGAGGUGCACCGCCGACUUCCAGGCAGCGCCGCGCAGACGCCCACCCCGGCGCUAGCAGUAGGACCCCACUCGGAGAGAGCGGAUCCAUGUCUCCUAGCACUGGAUCUCGCCAGGCACGGGGACGUCAUCUCUCCACCUCAGGUGCCAUGGAGGCAGAUGGACAGAAAACGAAAAAGACGACGCACGAAACUGCACUACCGCCAGGAUCGACGAGAUCCAUCCCGCACGGAGGAGCUUGCAGAAUUCCUGGAGAACACCUCGCCGCCGCCAUCACAGAGGGUCGCGCGGGCCUCCCGGCGUUCCUCUCCGGCAGCAGCGAGGGGAGGGAAGACGGGGUGGGAGGGUGUGGCGGCUGCUAGGGUUUGGGAAGACGGGGUGGAAGACGAGGAAUAUAACUCUUAUAAAGCAAAACUCUAAUAUCUAUUUCUCUUGACAUCCAAUGCAUCCACCUCAGCAGUUCACUAUUAACUCCACUAUCUAUUUUUCUUAAAAUGCAAAGCGUCCACCUCAGCAGUCUACUAUCAUUCGCUACUAUAAAUUUCUCUUGACAUGCAAAAUGUCCACCACAACAAUCUACUAUCAUUUGCAUUAAAUUUUACUAGCACAAAAAUUAUGACAUCCACAUUAGUGAAACACAUCAUCCACUAUGAAUAUAAUUUCUAUGAUUAUGCUAAUAAAGGAGUUAUAUAUUUAUAUUCCUCCUUCAUGCCCGCGGCAACGCGCGGAGAAUCCUCCUAGUUUUAUAUAUAACCAUGUCAUUGUCACUUCAUUACAGAGUCUCACAUGUAAAUGAUUUUUAUUCUUUUUCUCUCGUUCUUUAUGAGCAGGCCACAAACUAUCUCGUUUUUCAGAGCGAGAUAGGUGUAGAAAUAAGAGAUAGUCUCUUCACUUUUCCAUCUUCUUUCUUUUUCACAUCAGACGAGAUAGGUAUAGAGAUAAGAGAUAGGCUCUUCUCUUUUUCAUCUUCUCGCUUUUUCACAUCAGAAAAGUGCUCACAUGAAUUGUUAUGAGCCAGUUAAUGUGGCACUGUUGGUACACCUGGAGCAGCACCAAUGGAGAGGGCAGCAAAGUGUAGCCUUUAGCUCACAUAGGAGAGCAGAGCUGGUUGGGCGAUUGGUAGCUGUGGGGUUAACUUGAGCUUCAACUUGGUGCAUGGAGAUCUCACAAAUUUUUGUCAUCCAAGGGACAUGGAUAUCAAAAAGGAUUUGCUGAUUGUUCCUAUUUUUCGAAGCAGAUAAAAUUCUACUUUCAUGAAUCUGACAGUCGAGAGUAUUGUGAGAAAAACUUGCACAGUAAGUGUAAAUCUUGCAGAUUUCCAUAUAAUGGACAACUUUACUAGUACUCUUUAACAAACGAGCAGUGUUUUCAGCUCAUAUUAAAUCAGCAUAAGAAUGAACAUAAGCUAAUUUUUUUAUGAAAUAAGCAUAAACAUAAAUCAAAUUUCAGUGAAACGAGCAGCAAGUUGUGGCAAUACAAGUACAACAAAGGUAACCAAGAUAUUGUCAUGACUCGACACGAUACCAGUGCUUUGAGCAUAUAGCAGCUUCAUCACGAAUGGCUCUUUAUUCCAGAAACAGUACUAAUAAUACACUGACGGACGACGUACAAUAGCAAGCAUCGAGCUGAGCGGCGACAUUUAUUCUAUUUCUUCUCUCAGACAAAGCUCGAGAGAAGCAAACUUGACUUGCCAUAUGGAUGCUUGUAGCAGAUUUGCAUCAGAAGCCACCACCCAGGAACGCCGCCUCCGGCGGCGGCGCCGCGUGCAGCGUUCUUGCAGAAGUUUGUGAGGAUGUCAUCGCAGCGGUAGGUAACGACGGGGCCGUGGCCGCUGCCGGGAGGAAUCCCUGCACCAACCUUGACGCAUAUCUUGCACUCCGGGUGGCACCCCUGCACCGAGACAUCCUUGCACUUGCAAUCCCGCGGGAGCCACUAGUACAGAGACAGACUAUACAGGCGGUUGGUAACCUAUUUCUACUGGCGUUUUUCAGCACCGCCUGUGCUAGAGGCCAGUAGAAAUGGGCCAAUUUCAUGGCGGUUCCUUAUGAGCCGCUUGUAGAAAACAUUUCCACAGGCGGCUCUCUUUGGUAACCGUCUGUGGAAUUUUUUUUAUAGAAAAUAUGAAAUCGCGUUUUUAAAAACAGGGAAAAAAGAUUUAAUUUUAGGGAAGGCCUACUGGCUAGUCGACCGCUUCGCAGCCCCCAAGUCGCGCAUUUUUUCACGUAAAAUCGCAUGCUACGCGGCCGCUAGUGGGAUUCGAACCUAACACCUCGCCCUCGCGCGUAACGUCCUCUACCACUCCACAUAUCACUCAGAUGUGUCUAUAUUAGAGUUUUGUUCACCAUAUAUUAUCCUAAACUCAGCAUACAUUGAUUAUUUGAGGCCUUAAACAUAUUCAAAUAGAAAAGUUGUCAACUACAAACUUUGAUAACUUUUCAAGAUCUACAACUUUUAUAUUGGUAGUUUCUCCAUCCGAUGUCAUUUAUAAAAUUUGAAUUUCAAAUUUGAGAAAUUCAAACGUUGUUUUCGACGACAAGAUGAUCUCAAAUGAAAAAAAUUAUCAACUAUAAAAUUUCAUAACUUUUUGAGAUCUACAACUUUCAUUUUGACAGUUUUUUCAAACGAGGUCAUUUAAAAAGCUCAAAAAAUUCAAUUUCAAAUUAUUUUUAUAGGCGAUUUUCUUAAGCAACCGUCUGUAGAAAUAUGAUUUUUAGUGGCGGUUCCUUAGGACAACCGCAUGUAGAAAUACAUGAUUUCUACAUGUGGUUUUCUUAAGCAACUGCCUGUAGAAAUAUAAUUUUUAGUGGCGGUUCCUUAGGAAAACCGCAUGUACAAAUGCAUGAUUUCUACAGGCGGUUUUGUUAGAAAAACCGCAUGUAAAAAUACAUCUUCACAUACGGUUGGUAGUUCUGACACCGCCCUUUUUAUACCACAGGCGCGUGAUAACUAAAACCGCCUGUGAUAUAAAAAGGGGCGUCAGCGUUGUACUAUUUUCUACUAGUGAGCUUCCUGUCACAAACACCACAUAUGUCGCAGCAUGACCACAACGACCCUUGUGUGCCACUACUACGGAACGCUCUAUCACUAUCGGUGACAUCACAGUUAGAAAUGACAGAAUCGACAGUGAUGAGUCUUCACUGUCGGUUCAAAGCUUUGAGAGGCUUCGAAUGAUUGAAAAGGGGAAGAGCCGACAGUGAUGGACAACAUCACUGCCGGUUUGUUACUAGGACCUACAGUGUUGCCUUCUUCAUCUUUCACUGUCGGUCCGACACCUGAGCUAGCAAUGAUAUUGGGAUAUCACUGACGGCUCGUGUCGCCAACUGCCAGUGAUAUCCCCUGACAGCACAAAAAGCCUGCAGGCUUCCUCUGCUUCCGCCUCACUCCCAUCACGAGAACAUAGGAGCUUGCACGUGCCAUUCCCUCCAUUGUUACGGCUGCUCUUCCCCAUGACUCUCUCUUUUGGAUUUUGAAGAAUGGCUUGAUCUUUUUACUUUAAGGUUAGUAAGGGCAUCCACUUCAUCGAUUUUGGUGCUUAAUUAUCUUAGUUUGAAGGCUACAUUGCUUGAUUCUCAUUCUAGUUCUUCCUCCAUCCGAGAGAGCAAGCCAUUGGAUUUUGUGCAAAGCUCCCAAGCAAUUUGUGAGGAAUAUAUACAUCAUCUCCAUCAUCCAUAAAAGCUACAUGUUUUUGUCUAUAUAUCAUGACCUCAUUUGAAAUCUUUGGAAAUUUCAUGGUUUGAUCAAGAUGCAUGAUUGUUAGUAUGUGAUGCUCGAAUUAGUUCAUAUUAUUUAGGAGUAGAGUAGAUUAUUUUACAAUUUUGUUAGGAGUUGACACAUUGUUUGGUGUUCAUGAUCAAGUAUCCAAUUAAUUUUGUUCAUAAUCAAGAUGAUUGACAGUGUUCGGCAAGAAGCUUAGAGUUGUCGAACAAUGGUUGAUAUUCAUAUAUCGGCCAAAGAAAAAGUAGCCAAAUGCAUGCAUCACAUUUAGAGCAAAAGCAGGCGAUGGAGUAAACAACAUUGCUCUCAUCAUUGUUAUGUCUUUCCAAACUCACAUAUAUGCUUUGUUUAAAAACAUAAGAACAUAUGUUAAUAACGAAAUAUGAUCAGUCAUUCAGCAAUAUUUUUCCUCUCAGAAUAAAUUAGUAAAGAGUAAUUUCAUUUAUGACUCUUGUAUUGUCAUGACUCGACACCAUAACACGGUGCUUUGAGCAUAGUGUGCAUCAUUCAUGGCUCUUUAUUCCAGAAACAGUACUAAUACACUGACCACGUACAAGAGCACAAACAAGCAUAUCGAGCAGAGCAGCGACAUUUAUUUUAUUUCUUACAUUAAUUUAUUUUAUUUCUUCUCUCAGACGAAGCUCGAGAGGAAGCAAACUCGAUCGACUUGUCGCAUGCAUGCCAUCAGAAGCCCCUACCCAGGAACGCCGCCUCCGGCGCCGGCGCCGGCGCCGGCGCUGGCGUGCAGCGCUGCUCGCAGAAGUUUGUGAGAACGUCAUCGCAGCGGUAGGUGACGACGGGGCCAGAGCCGACCAUGACGCAGUUCUUGCACUCCGGGUGGCACCCGUCCACCGAGACGUCAUCGCACUGGCAGUCCGGCGGCAGCUGCCUGUCACAAAAACCGCAGUUGUCGCAGCACGGCCACGACGAGCCUGGUUUCCACCCGGUGUGGCCGUACAUGUUUAGUAAAAAAUGUCAAGUGUGCAUGCAUACAUCCUUUAACAAGUGAUAUAUAUAUAUAAAAGAAACUAAACGGUGCAUGAAAGGAUUCUGGGUACCUUUGCCGAGCGGCAGAGCAGCGAGGACGCCGAGAAGAGCCAGAGUGACGACGAGUAUCAGCUGAGGCCUCAUCUUUGUUACUGUGUCCCGGCAAGAACAGGCCUGAAUUUAUGCCAAGUUUUUUGCUUGGAUUUCUUUGCUACGUGUAUGUAUAUUCUCGCGGCUAUAUGAUGUGUAUGGUCGAGGCUGGAGGUCUUGUUAUAUAUAGCAUAGCAGGGGAUGGAGGUCCAGCGUGCCUAGAGAUGUCAAUCCCCACACGAUCGAAUAUAUAAAAUUCCACUACUAGCUAGGCGGCGGCAAGUGCCACAACUUUGCACUCCCAUGCGAUGCGACACGGUCUGGAUGAGUUUCCAAGCGCGCGCACGUUCCAUUCGUAUUUUUCUCAUUCCAUCAUGCAAUGCACAUGCCACCUGCGAGGGCGAUGGACGCCACCCGUCGACCUUUCCAAAAUAUUUUGUAAAAUUUUUCAAAUUUCUUGUCACAUCGAAUCUUACGACACAUGUACAAAGCAUUAAAUAUAGAUAAAAUAAUAACUAAUUACAUAGUUUGUCUGUAAUUUGCGAGACGACGAAUCUUUUGAGCCUAGUGAGUCAAUAAUUAGAUAAUAUUUAUUAAAUAUAAACGAAAAUGCUACAAUAACAAUUUUGGCAAAAAUUUUGAGAGUUAACAAGGCCCUGCUUGGUUGACCGAGUGCAGGGAUGACGCAGUGUACAUGUGUCUGGGAUCCUUUCAUAUACAUAUAUAGAGCAUUAAUUAUAGAUAAAAAAUAACUAAAUAUAUAUUUUGUUUAUAAUUUAGGAGACGAAUCUUUUGAGUCUAGGUAGUCAAUGAUUAGAUAAGUGUUUAUUUUGUUAAAAAAUUUGGAAUUAAACAAGGCGCUGGUUGGUUGAUCGAGUGCAUCAGUGCACAUGUGUCUGGAGAUACUUCCUGGAUGUCCUCUCUAUUUGCCUAUUUGCCUAGUCAUUUCAGGUGGGAACGGGAGCCCAGCACGGUCAGCAUGCAUGUGCUCAGUCCUCGCCUUGCCACCUGGAACGAAGGCCUUGUUUAGUUUUCUCCAAAACUCAAAAACUUUUCAAGUUUUCGUGUUAUAUUGAAUUUUACGGCUGCAUUAAAUAUUAACGAAAACAAAAACUAGUUAUACAAUUUAUCUAUAAAUUACGAAACGAAUCUUUUAAGCCUAUUUAGUCUAUGAUUAGACAAUAAUUACCAAAUACAAACAAAAAUGUUACAAUAUUUUAAAUUUUUCCCCCACUCAACUGAACAAGGCCGAGCUGAUUGUUGACCGUGGAGCCAUGGAGCUGGCGUCUCAACAGUACUGUACGAAAUUAGCAGCUAUAUUUUUUUAAGAUAAAGGAUAGAAACUAUCCGGCUUCAUCUACCCAUAGGUAGAAUCAGGCCAAAUUAAUACAACGGGAGAAAAAAAGAAGAUAAAUAACGGAAAAAUUACAUCCCCAACAAGGGCUCAAGUAGUCCUAGGCAACAAACCGUCUUGAUCCAAGAUGUCAACUCCUAUGGAAUACGAUCGCCAGCGUCAAGACAAAGUCGUCGAAACACGUUUGUCACACCUUAAAAAAGAUAGUGAAAACGUUGGACACCGACCACCAUUGACGAUUGGAUGCUUCUUCCAAGGCAACAGCGCAAAGAACUUGGAACAGAGACGGACCUGCCAUCCAAACUCCAAGCAGUUAUACCAAUGAACACCUCCUCCGACAAGAACAGCACGACGGAGAGACGUGGUUCCCGGCCAUGACGAACAACCACUUCGACGACGAGCCAACACGUCGCCGCCGGCCUGGAGAAACCAGGCUAGGUUUUCACCAAGUUGUUGGACGACCACAACCGCUACAGCUCCAGCGACACCUUCAACAAGGUGAGUAGCACCGUCAGUACCACCGUCGCCGGCCCGGCGUAAUGCCAGGUAGGGUUUUCACCCAAACUGCAGCCAGACGAAGAUCGCUGCGUGCCUGGGACUGGCACCCGCCGGAUCUGGGACGCCCAUCGGAUCCCAGUGGACUCAGGGCCCCGAAUCUAGGAGGUGCACCGCCGACUUCCAGGCAGCGCCGCGCAGACGCCCACCCCGGCGCUAGCAGUAGGACCCCACUCGGAGAGAGCGGAUCCAUGUCUCCUAGCACUGGAUCUCGCCAGGCACGGGGACGUCAUCUCUCCACCUCAGGUGCCAUGGAGGCAGAUGGACAGAAAACGAAAAAGACGACGCACGAAACUGCACUACCGCCAGGAUCGACGAGAUCCAUCCCGCACGGAGGAGCUUGCAGAAUUCCUGGAGAACACCUCGCCGCCGCCAUCACAGAGGGUCGCGCGGGCCUCCCGGCGUUCCUCUCCGGCAGCAGCGAGGGGAGGGAAGACGGGGUGGGAGGGUGUGGCGGCUGCUAGGGUUUGGGAAGACGGGGUGGAAGACGAGGAAUAUAACUCUUAUAAAGCAAAACUCUAAUAUCUAUUUCUCUUGACAUCCAAUGCAUCCACCUCAGCAGUUCACUAUUAACUCCACUAUCUAUUUUUCUUAAAAUGCAAAGCGUCCACCUCAGCAGUCUACUAUCAUUCGCUACUAUAAAUUUCUCUUGACAUGCAAAAUGUCCACCACAACAAUCUACUAUCAUUUGCAUUAAAUUUUACUAGCACAAAAAUUAUGACAUCCACAUUAGUGAAACACAUCAUCCACUAUGAAUAUAAUUUCUAUGAUUAUGCUAAUAAAGGAGUUAUAUAUUUAUAUUCCUCCUUCAUGCCCGCGGCAACGCGCGGAGAAUCCUCCUAGUUUUAUAUAUAACCAUGUCAUUGUCACUUCAUUACAGAGUCUCACAUGUAAAUGAUUUUUAUUCUUUUUCUCUCGUUCUUUAUGAGCAGGCCACAAACUAUCUCGUUUUUCAGAGCGAGAUAGGUGUAGAAAUAAGAGAUAGUCUCUUCACUUUUCCAUCUUCUUUCUUUUUCACAUCAGACGAGAUAGGUAUAGAGAUAAGAGAUAGGCUCUUCUCUUUUUCAUCUUCUCGCUUUUUCACAUCAGAAAAGUGCUCACAUGAAUUGUUAUGAGCCAGUUAAUGUGGCACUGUUGGUACACCUGGAGCAGCACCAAUGGAGAGGGCAGCAAAGUGUAGCCUUUAGCUCACAUAGGAGAGCAGAGCUGGUUGGGCGAUUGGUAGCUGUGGGGUUAACUUGAGCUUCAACUUGGUGCAUGGAGAUCUCACAAAUUUUUGUCAUCCAAGGGACAUGGAUAUCAAAAAGGAUUUGCUGAUUGUUCCUAUUUUUCGAAGCAGAUAAAAUUCUACUUUCAUGAAUCUGACAGUCGAGAGUAUUGUGAGAAAAACUUGCACAGUAAGUGUAAAUCUUGCAGAUUUCCAUAUAAUGGACAACUUUACUAGUACUCUUUAACAAACGAGCAGUGUUUUCAGCUCAUAUUAAAUCAGCAUAAGAAUGAACAUAAGCUAAUUUUUUUAUGAAAUAAGCAUAAACAUAAAUCAAAUUUCAGUGAAACGAGCAGCAAGUUGUGGCAAUACAAGUACAACAAAGGUAACCAAGAUAUUGUCAUGACUCGACACGAUACCAGUGCUUUGAGCAUAUAGCAGCUUCAUCACGAAUGGCUCUUUAUUCCAGAAACAGUACUAAUAAUACACUGACGGACGACGUACAAUAGCAAGCAUCGAGCUGAGCGGCGACAUUUAUUCUAUUUCUUCUCUCAGACAAAGCUCGAGAGAAGCAAACUUGACUUGCCAUAUGGAUGCUUGUAGCAGAUUUGCAUCAGAAGCCACCACCCAGGAACGCCGCCUCCGGCGGCGGCGCCGCGUGCAGCGUUCUUGCAGAAGUUUGUGAGGAUGUCAUCGCAGCGGUAGGUAACGACGGGGCCGUGGCCGCUGCCGGGAGGAAUCCCUGCACCAACCUUGACGCAUAUCUUGCACUCCGGGUGGCACCCCUGCACCGAGACAUCCUUGCACUUGCAAUCCCGCGGGAGCCACUAGUACAGAGACAGACUAUACAGGCGGUUGGUAACCUAUUUCUACUGGCGUUUUUCAGCACCGCCUGUGCUAGAGGCCAGUAGAAAUGGGCCAAUUUCAUGGCGGUUCCUUAUGAGCCGCUUGUAGAAAACAUUUCCACAGGCGGCUCUCUUUGGUAACCGUCUGUGGAAUUUUUUUUAUAGAAAAUAUGAAAUCGCGUUUUUAAAAACAGGGAAAAAAGAUUUAAUUUUAGGGAAGGCCUACUGGCUAGUCGACCGCUUCGCAGCCCCCAAGUCGCGCAUUUUUUCACGUAAAAUCGCAUGCUACGCGGCCGCUAGUGGGAUUCGAACCUAACACCUCGCCCUCGCGCGUAACGUCCUCUACCACUCCACAUAUCACUCAGAUGUGUCUAUAUUAGAGUUUUGUUCACCAUAUAUUAUCCUAAACUCAGCAUACAUUGAUUAUUUGAGGCCUUAAACAUAUUCAAAUAGAAAAGUUGUCAACUACAAACUUUGAUAACUUUUCAAGAUCUACAACUUUUAUAUUGGUAGUUUCUCCAUCCGAUGUCAUUUAUAAAAUUUGAAUUUCAAAUUUGAGAAAUUCAAACGUUGUUUUCGACGACAAGAUGAUCUCAAAUGAAAAAAAUUAUCAACUAUAAAAUUUCAUAACUUUUUGAGAUCUACAACUUUCAUUUUGACAGUUUUUUCAAACGAGGUCAUUUAAAAAGCUCAAAAAAUUCAAUUUCAAAUUAUUUUUAUAGGCGAUUUUCUUAAGCAACCGUCUGUAGAAAUAUGAUUUUUAGUGGCGGUUCCUUAGGACAACCGCAUGUAGAAAUACAUGAUUUCUACAUGUGGUUUUCUUAAGCAACUGCCUGUAGAAAUAUAAUUUUUAGUGGCGGUUCCUUAGGAAAACCGCAUGUACAAAUGCAUGAUUUCUACAGGCGGUUUUGUUAGAAAAACCGCAUGUAAAAAUACAUCUUCACAUACGGUUGGUAGUUCUGACACCGCCCUUUUUAUACCACAGGCGCGUGAUAACUAAAACCGCCUGUGAUAUAAAAAGGGGCGUCAGCGUUGUACUAUUUUCUACUAGUGAGCUUCCUGUCACAAACACCACAUAUGUCGCAGCAUGACCACAACGACCCUUGUGUGCCACUACUACGGAACGCUCUAUCACUAUCGGUGACAUCACAGUUAGAAAUGACAGAAUCGACAGUGAUGAGUCUUCACUGUCGGUUCAAAGCUUUGAGAGGCUUCGAAUGAUUGAAAAGGGGAAGAGCCGACAGUGAUGGACAACAUCACUGCCGGUUUGUUACUAGGACCUACAGUGUUGCCUUCUUCAUCUUUCACUGUCGGUCCGACACCUGAGCUAGCAAUGAUAUUGGGAUAUCACUGACGGCUCGUGUCGCCAACUGCCAGUGAUAUCCCCUGACAGCACAAAAAGCCUGCAGGCUUCCUCUGCUUCCGCCUCACUCCCAUCACGAGAACAUAGGAGCUUGCACGUGCCAUUCCCUCCAUUGUUACGGCUGCUCUUCCCCAUGACUCUCUCUUUUGGAUUUUGAAGAAUGGCUUGAUCUUUUUACUUUAAGGUUAGUAAGGGCAUCCACUUCAUCGAUUUUGGUGCUUAAUUAUCUUAGUUUGAAGGCUACAUUGCUUGAUUCUCAUUCUAGUUCUUCCUCCAUCCGAGAGAGCAAGCCAUUGGAUUUUGUGCAAAGCUCCCAAGCAAUUUGUGAGGAAUAUAUACAUCAUCUCCAUCAUCCAUAAAAGCUACAUGUUUUUGUCUAUAUAUCAUGACCUCAUUUGAAAUCUUUGGAAAUUUCAUGGUUUGAUCAAGAUGCAUGAUUGUUAGUAUGUGAUGCUCGAAUUAGUUCAUAUUAUUUAGGAGUAGAGUAGAUUAUUUUACAAUUUUGUUAGGAGUUGACACAUUGUUUGGUGUUCAUGAUCAAGUAUCCAAUUAAUUUUGUUCAUAAUCAAGAUGAUUGACAGUGUUCGGCAAGAAGCUUAGAGUUGUCGAACAAUGGUUGAUAUUCAUAUAUCGGCCAAAGAAAAAGUAGCCAAAUGCAUGCAUCACAUUUAGAGCAAAAGCAGGCGAUGGAGUAAACAACAUUGCUCUCAUCAUUGUUAUGUCUUUCCAAACUCACAUAUAUGCUUUGUUUAAAAACAUAAGAACAUAUGUUAAUAACGAAAUAUGAUCAGUCAUUCAGCAAUAUUUUUCCUCUCAGAAUAAAUUAGUAAAGAGUAAUUUCAUUUAUGACUCUUGUAUUGUCAUGACUCGACACCAUAACACGGUGCUUUGAGCAUAGUGUGCAUCAUUCAUGGCUCUUUAUUCCAGAAACAGUACUAAUACACUGACCACGUACAAGAGCACAAACAAGCAUAUCGAGCAGAGCAGCGACAUUUAUUUUAUUUCUUACAUUAAUUUAUUUUAUUUCUUCUCUCAGACGAAGCUCGAGAGGAAGCAAACUCGAUCGACUUGUCGCAUGCAUGCCAUCAGAAGCCCCUACCCAGGAACGCCGCCUCCGGCGCCGGCGCCGGCGCCGGCGCUGGCGUGCAGCGCUGCUCGCAGAAGUUUGUGAGAACGUCAUCGCAGCGGUAGGUGACGACGGGGCCAGAGCCGACCAUGACGCAGUUCUUGCACUCCGGGUGGCACCCGUCCACCGAGACGUCAUCGCACUGGCAGUCCGGCGGCAGCUGCCUGUCACAAAAACCGCAGUUGUCGCAGCACGGCCACGACGAGCCUGGUUUCCACCCGGUGUGGCCGUACAUGUUUAGUAAAAAAUGUCAAGUGUGCAUGCAUACAUCCUUUAACAAGUGAUAUAUAUAUAUAAAAGAAACUAAACGGUGCAUGAAAGGAUUCUGGGUACCUUUGCCGAGCGGCAGAGCAGCGAGGACGCCGAGAAGAGCCAGAGUGACGACGAGUAUCAGCUGAGGCCUCAUCUUUGUUACUGUGUCCCGGCAAGAACAGGCCUGAAUUUAUGCCAAGUUUUUUGCUUGGAUUUCUUUGCUACGUGUAUGUAUAUUCUCGCGGCUAUAUGAUGUGUAUGGUCGAGGCUGGAGGUCUUGUUAUAUAUAGCAUAGCAGGGGAUGGAGGGCGCGCGGCUUCCAGCGUGCCUAGAGACGUCAAUCCCCACACGAUCGAAUAUAUAAAAUUCCACUACUAGCUAGGCGGCGGCAAGUGCCACAACUUUGCACUCCCGUGCGAUGCGACACGGUCUGGAUGAGUUUCCAAGCGCGCGCACGUUCCAUUCGUAUUUUUCUCAUUCCAUCAUGCAAUGCACAUGCCACCUGCGAGGGCGAUCUUUUGAGCCUAGUGAGUCAAUAAUUAAUUACAUAGUUUGUUUGUAAUUUGCGAGACGACGAAUCUUUUGAGCCUAGUGAGUCAAUAAUUAGAUAAUAUUUAUUAAAUAUAAACGAAAAUGUUACAAUAUCGAUUUUGCCAAAAAUUUGGAAGUAAACGAGACCCUGCUUGGUUGACUGAGUGCAGGGGUGACGCAGUGCACAUGUGUCUAGGGAUCUUUUUAUAUAUAUAGAGCAUUAAUUAUAGAUAAAAAAUAACUAAUUGUAUAGUUUGCUUAUAAUUUGAGAGACGAAUCUUUUGAGUCUAUGUAGUCUAUGAUUAGAUAAGUGUUCAUUUUGUAAAAGAAAAUUGGAAUUCAACAAGCCGCUAGUUGGUUGACCGAGUGCAUCAGUGCACAUGUGUCUGGAGAUACUUCCUGGAUGUCCUCUCUAUGUGCCUAGUCAUCUCAGGUGGGAACGGGAGCCCAGCACGGUCAGCAUGCAUGUGCUCAGUCCUCGCCUUGCCACCUCGAACGAAGGCCUUGUUUAGUUUUCUCCGAAACUCAAAAACUUUUUCAAGAUUUCCUGUUAUAUUGAAUUUUGCGACAUAUGAAUGGAGCAUUAAAUAUAGAUAAAAAUAAAAACUAAUUAUACAAUUUAUCUAUAAAUUACGAGAUGAAUAUUUUAAGCCUAUUUAAUCUAUGAUUGGACAAUAAUUACCAAAUACAAACAAAAAUACUACAGUAUUCAAAUAUUUUCUCUCCAGGCCUUGUUUAGUUCCAAAAUUUUUGGCAAAAUGACCACUGUAGCAAUUUCGUUUGUAUUUGACAAAUAUUGUUCAAUCAUGGACUAACUAGACUCAAAAGAUUCGUCUCGUCAAUUCCGACUAAACUGUGCAAUUAGUUUUUAUUUUUAUCUAUAUUUAAUACUCCAUGCAUACGUCUAAAGAUUCGAUGUGACGGGGAAUCUGAAAAAUUUUGCAAAAUUUUUGGGAAACUAAACAAGGCCCCACUCAACUAAACAAGGCCGAGCUGAUUGACCGUGGAGCCAUGGAGCUGGCGUCUCAACUAUCUAUAACUCUUAUAAAAGCAAAACUCCACUAUCACUACUACAGAAUGAGGCAUUGGUCGAUGUCCAAAAUGGCCCAAAACCUCGGCCUUUUUACGGCCCGGGGUUAAAGACCCCUUUAACACCGGUUCGUAACACGAACCGGUGCUAAAGGGUCCUGGCCAACGGCUACUGACAGGUGUUGUCGGGGCAGGGACCCUUUAGCACCGGUUCGUGUUACAAACUGGUGCUAAAGGGUCUCUUUGAGCACCGGCCAGUGCCACGGGCCGAGGCAAAGCCUUUAGCACCGGUUUGUAACACAAACCGGUGCUAAAGGGUCACCCUUUAGCACCGGUUUUUGCCAUGAACCGGUGCUAAAGGUCCGGUUUAUAUGCCGGAUCCCUCCUUCUCUCUGCCCAUUUGAAACCGAGAGCAACAUUCACCAUAUCUAUUUCUCUUGACAUACAAUGCACCUACCUCAGCAGUUCACUAUCAACCCCACUAUCUAUUUCUCUUAAAAUGUAAAGCAUCCAUCUCAGCAGUCCACUAUCAUUCGCCACUACAAAUUUCUCUUGACAUGCAAGGUGUCCACCACAGCAAUCUACUAUCAUUUGCAUUAAAUUUCACUAGCACAAGAAUUAUGACAUCCACAGGGACGAAGCCAGGAAAAAAUUUAGGGGAGCUGAACAAAAGUUCUACAUCGACUUAGCUCUGCUAUUAUCCCUCUUAAAUAUAUAUUAAUGAUGAAGUUUACAAAAUAUAUCUAAAAAAUAAAGUUCUCAACUCACCCUACCUUAUAAAUUUGUGUCUAAAAUUAGAAGGAGGGCACUAGGAAUUCCACUGGGCCAGCAGCGGUAGGGGGGGCUGGAGCCCCCCUAGCCCCACUGCUGGCUUCGUCCCUGGACGUCCACAUUAGUGAGACACAUCAUCCACUAUGAAUAUAAUUUCUAUGAUUAUGCUAAUAAAAGAGUUAUAUAUUUAUAUUGCUCCUUCAUACCCGCGGCAACGCGCGGAGAAUCCUCCUAGUUUUAUAUAUAACCAUGUCAUUGUCACUUCAUUACGGAGUCUCACAUGUAAAUGAUUUUUAUUCUUCUUCUCUCGUUCUUUAUGAGCAGGCCACAAACUAUCUCGUUUUUCUGAGCGAGAUAGGUGUAGAGAUAAGAGAUAGUCUCUUCUCUUUUCCAUCUUCUUUCUUUUUCACAUCAGAUGAGAUAGGUAUAGAGAUAAGAGAUAGUCUCUUCUCUUUUCCAUCUUCUCUCUUUUUCACAUAAGAAAAGUGCUCACAUGAAUUGUUAUGAGCCAGUUAAUGUGGCACUGUUGGUACACCUGGAGCAGCACCAAUGGAGAGGGCAGCAAAGUGUAGCCUUUAGCUCACAUAGGAGAGCAGACCUGGUUGGGCGAUUGGUAGCUGUGGAGUUAACUUGAGCGUCGACAUGGUGCAUGGAGAUCUCACAAAUUUGUGUCAUCCAAGGGAUAUGGACAUAAAAAAGGAUUUGCUGAUUGUUCCUAUUUUUCAAAGCAGAUAAAAUUCUACUUUCAAGAAUCUGACAGUUGAGAGUAUUGUGAGAGAAACUUGCACAGUAAGUGUAAAUCUUGCUGAUUUUCAUGUGACGUACAACUUUACUAGUACUUUUCAACAAACGAGCAUUGUUUUCAGCUCAUAAUAAAUCACUAUAAGAAUGAACAUAAGCUAAAAUUUUAAUGAAAUAAGCAUAAACAUAAACCAAAUUUCAGUGCAACGAGCAGGAAGCUGUGGGCAAUACAAGUACAACAAGGUAACCAAGAUAUUGUCACGACACGAUACCAGUGCUUUGAGCAUAUUGCAGCUUCAUCCUGAAUGGCUAUUUAUUCCAGAAACAAUACUAAUAAUACACUGACUGACGAUACAAUAGCAAGCAUCGAGCUGAGCGGCGACAUUUAUUCUAUUUCUUCUCUCAGACGAAGCUCGAGAAGCAAACUAGACUUGCCAUAUGGAUGCUUGUAGCAGAUUGGCAUCAGAAGCCACCACCCAGGAACGCCGCCUCCGCGGCGGUGGUGCGUGCAGCGUUAUUGUAGAAGUUUGUGAGGAUGUCAUCGCAGCGGUAGGUGACGACGGGGCCAUGGCCGCCGUUGGGAUGAAUCCCUGCACCGACCUUGAUGCAAAUCUUGCACUCCGGGUGGCACCCCUGCACCGAGACAUCCUUGCACUUGCAGUCCGGCGGGAGCUU